RNAcentral lists this ribosomal RNA (497 nucleotides) under uncultured bacterium. RNAcentral describes it as "partial 16S ribosomal RNA". It matches the Rfam family "Bacterial small subunit ribosomal RNA", at positions 28 to 507 of the family's 1533-position model. The record is from RNAcentral.
GAUGAACGCUGGCGGCGUGCCUAAUACAUGCAAGUCGAGCGAACAGACGAGGAGCUUGCUCCUUUGACGUUAGCGGCGGACGGGUGAGUAACACGUAGGUAACCUACCUAUAAGACUGGGAUAACUUCGGGAAACCGGAGCUAAUACCGGAUAAUAUUUCGAACCGCAUGGUUCGAUAGUGAAAGAUGGCUUUGCUAUCACUUAUAGAUGGACCUGCGCCGUAUUAGCUAGUUGGUAAGGUAACGGCUUACCAAGGCAGCGAUACGUAGCCGACCUGAGAGGGUGAUCGGCCACACUGGAACUGAGACACGGUCCAGACUCCUACGGGAGGCAGCAGUAGGGAAUCUUCCGCAAUGGGCGAAAGCCUGACGGAGCAACGCCGCGUGAGUGAUGAAGGUCUUCGGAUCGUAAAACUCUGUUAUUAGGGAAGAACAAACGUGUAAGUAACUGUGCACGUCUUGACGGUACCUAAUCAGAAGGCCACGGCUAACUACGUG